This 4249-nucleotide long non-coding RNA is filed under the name Marmota monax (woodchuck). Lineage: Eukaryota; Metazoa; Chordata; Mammalia; Rodentia; Sciuridae. The record is from RNAcentral.
GGGGCAGAAGCGCACGGGCCUGCGCAGUGUGGCUGAGCUCGAGAGCCUCGUGCCAGACAGCCUGCGCUGUGUUCUCAGGACCCUGGAUGCGGCCAGCUCAGCAGGGCCGGUUUGUCGCUGGGCAACACUUGGCUUUCCUUUAGGACAGGAGUUGGACUGCCCUGGUUUCAGUGCGGUCCCAGCCGUGUCUGGAAUCUGCUGAUGAAGGAACUGGAGGAUGAGGGGCAUCUCCACCCAGGCCUGCCCUGGAGGGUGCAGGCCACCUUCAGAAGGGACACUCCCGUGAGGUUCCUUCACGGCCCCUCUCCCAGGCUCUUCAGUUUUGAGGAAAAUAGUUUCUCCUUGAACGUGGAGGAGUGACUCCCAGCCACAGCCCACGGGUUCCGAGUCUCCAGGACGCCAUGCCCCGACUAGCUGUGACCACGGAUGGCCAGAGAUAGCUUCUCAGCACCGUCUCUACCUCGUUCCUGUGAUACCGGACCAUCUGCAAUCCAACUGGAAGAAUUGUGCCGGAUGGGCCUUUCCUUCUCCUCAUCUUCAUGCACACAAACGUCUCUGAACAAUGUCCUUUCUGCACUGGGCAAUGUGGCCUCUCAGGGAGCACGAGGUCCACCGCGGAGCUAUUCCUAUCAGCAGUAUUGGCGGAUGGAGCAUCUGCUCCAUAUCUGCUCGGCCUUUGGGGGCAGGUGGAUAUAUAAGAGGGGUGAUCACCGCACCAUGAUCCCCUCUUGCUCUCUACUUCAGGGUUCAGACAGAGUGUUCCCCGUGUGGCCCUGCCCAGCAGCGACAGGGGUCAAGGAGGGUCUCAGGAUGGCUGGGAAGGGAAUCUGCAUUGAAAUGGAGGAGGGCAGGAAGGAGAAGACACCAGAGGAGGGGUGUAAGAGGGACAUCAAGCACCCUGGGCCAGGGCUCCCUUGGUGACAAACAGGCCAAGCAAACGUCCAGACUGACCAGGGAGGACCCAGCAUGCCAGGUCAGACGGUCAGCUCCUGUUAUGGAGGCGUGGCUUGGAAACACCUGGGAGGUGAAUGUGACCACAAGAGGUUCCAAAUAUUCCAGCUAUCCCGAGGAGCCUGGGGAGCACCCUGUCGUCCAGCCUCAGGUCUGAGGGCUGCACAGACGGCUGUACAGCAGGCGCGGACGGGGCCUCAGGGUCCCCAGAGCUGGUGACCUCACAUACGUGGUUCUCCCUUGUGUUCACAUACAGGUGGGUUAUGAAUCCACAUGACCUCCCCAAUCUCAAGGUCAGGCGGAGCCAGCCUCCCCACAAGGCAUGUGACGUGGGCUCCGUCUGCAUCAGUAACAUGUGUUGACGGAAAGCCUGUGACUCGUGGGGACUCAAGGGGCCGUGGUCUGAGGCACAUGCCUCUGUCCCGCCUGCGAGGCCCGGGAGGGGGUGAGGGAGGACAGUUGCUCUGACGUAAGCCAGCUGCACAUGCCGUGAGUUUCCCAGGAGGAGGGGUGCAGACAGGAAACGUCCCGGAUGAGGACAGCACCCUCGCAGGGUCAGGGUGUGCGGGAGGCUGUGUAGCCACCUGUGUGGUGCCGGCCAGUCUGCAGGGAGGGUUUGGCUCCAGCAGGACACUGGUGACGAGGCCACCCUGACACUGACCAUGCCGUCACCUGCCCAGUUGUGGGUCAUGCUCUGUGACCCAGAACACCCGGGAGAAGUGGCUGAGACGUGGGCCAGCUCUGCGGAGCUGCACGCCAGGAGGACUGCUGCCUGGUCCCUGCAGGUCAGCCUGUUUGGCCCGAGGCCCUGGGCAGGCUACCUGGGCUCUGCCCCUUCUUACCCUCCUGUCCUUACCCCUGACCGGCUGUCUAUUCUGAGGGCAGCUCAGCCAGAAGAAGGAAGUUCCGCCCAGCGCUGACCCUGGCUGCUGUGUGGGGGCUGGUGGAGAAGCCCUGCUGCAGCCUGCCCCACCCCCUGGCCACCUUUUCCUUCUUGCUACUUCCUUAAGCAGCGCGGGCAGGCCUGGCCUUUGCGCUCUGCGAGGGCCGCAUGCACCGUCAAUGAUUAACCUGAGGCUCUGGGUGCUCCCUCCCGCUCCCUCACCUGCUCUUGAACCUGAGCCAAAGGGCUUUGGGGAAGUGCAGAGGCCUGGAAGCAGCAGGUUAAAUCCGUCCCUUGACUCUGAUUCUGAACCUCUGGAGGAAGUCACCUGCAUCCUCCUAAGGCACUCCAUUUCCAAAGUCUGGCAUCUUCUCAUGGGCACAGGCUCAGAGACUACCAGGAGGCCAAGCUAGCCUUCGGAACUGUUCACACAGGAUUCUGCACCGGGCACGGAGGGGGUCUGGCCUUUUCUCCUCCCUCCCUGGACACUGGUCAGUUCCCUGUUCGAGCAGCUGCUCGGCCCCUGUGACAUCUCUCACCUCUUCCUGGCUCUGCUGUCCUCUGGGCUGCAGCACCAUGCCCCUCCUCUCUGCGCUCUCUGCUCACCCCCAGGAGGACAUGCUGGGCUCGUGUGGGCCUACCCAGCCCUGGACAGAACCGUCCUGCUGGUUUGUGGGCUGCUGGAACCAGGCCCCUCCCCUUGGCAGGCGGUUUCUGUGCCAGGGGCAGGGUGCCGAGCUCCCCGUCUUGGAGGAAGGCCCCUCUUGGGUAAGGAGGACUCGUGCUCGGGUCUCUCCAGGUCCACACACUUGCCUCCCCUCCUGAGCCUUUGGUGGUCACAGAGGCUUCCUGGUUUGUCCUCCUCCCCAUCUCGUGACCCGGGUAGAUUCAGACUGUGAGAGUCAGCAGCUGGGGAAGGGAACGGCCCGUGGGUGACUUGCACAUGUCGUUUGCUUUUGCGACACCCUCACUGGUUCAUCACUGUCCUGUAAGGAGAUGGGGACUCGGGGUGGCCCUGGCCUGCCCAUGGUCUCUCUCUCACGUGAGUUCCUAGAGAUCAAACCUGGGCCUCUGGUCCCCACACCAGGCUCCAUAAUGGACAGUCCUUGCCACACGACUCACCAGGAUGGGGGCGGUCUGACUCACGGGUCGCACGGCACCAGGAAGGCCUCUGUCCCCACAUGUAGGAGUGGAAGCUCCUCCCUGAUGUGGGGCUUGUUCUACCUGCUCUGCUUGCCCCUCCCUGCCCACAUGCCAUCUGUCCCAGGGGUGCAUUCCUGUCUCUGGACUUCAGCUCCCGGGGCAGCCACUGGCUAAUGCACCUGACCUCCUGAGUGUCUAGCUCCCAGUCCACCUGAAGCGUGCUCAGAGAACUCCCAUCUGGCUACGGUGGGGCAGAGUCACGGGGACGCAGCCUGACCUACAGGGAAGGGUUGGCUUCCUUAUGUGCACACAAGAUGGGUGGGCACGGUGGGAUGUGAGGACGCCCAUUCCCUGUCCCCCAACGCGGCACGCUGCAGAGCACCCACCAGCCUUGCUCGCCUGACCUGCAUGGCUGACCCUGAGCUGCAGCUCCCAGCCCAGGCGGGACACUGAGAGAAUAUCACACAUGCCACCAGCCUGGGAAGGAUCAAAAGGCCAAAUUCCAAGUACAGUCUCUACUGAACAUGUAUUGCUUUUGCACCAUGAUGAAGUCACAUGGUGUGUGUGUGUGUGUGAGAGAGAGAGAGAGAGAGAGAGAGAGAGAGGGGACAUGCACAUGGGUGCUGUGGGCAUUCAGGGGGUGUGACAUUUAUUAGGAGCAAUUGAUGAACACACCGGUGACAUACCACAAGGACACACAGCCACCCAGAACCUUGUCCUUGCUGGAGUGGGCCGGGGUGCAAGUCAGAGUGCGGUGCAACCUCUAGAGGUCAGGAAGAAAGGCGGACCUUCUCUGCGCCUCCCUCCCUCCCUCCCUCCCUCCCUCUGUUUCUCUGGCUGUGGUUUGAAUCUGAUGUGUCCCCCCAAGCCCCACGUGUUCCAGGCUUGGUUCCAGCUCAUGGUAUGGUUGGGAGGUGGUGGGGCCUGGUGAGAACCGUCAGGCCAUGGGGGGUGUGCCCCUGAGGGGGUGAUGGGACCCAGCUCCACCAUGUGCUCCUGACAUGACGGGCGGCUGGCCAUAAGCCCAGGGCAAUGAAUGAAACCUCCCAAACUGUGAAGCCAAAAACCUUUCCUCUUUAUAAGUUGGUUAUCUCAAGUAUUUGUUGUAGUGACGGAAAGCUGACUAAUAAACAGGCUUUCUUCUUUUUUCACUUUAUUGAGGUGUGGCUCAUAAUAAAAUGUGUAAGUCAGUGGUUUGUGGUGUAUGAAAUGCUUUCACUUGUAAAAAUUGUGGCAAAAUACAAAUUUCAUAAAAUUCACCCUUUUAAACCA